Long non-coding RNA from Austrofundulus limnaeus, 98 nucleotides. RefSeq lists it as uncharacterized. The record is from RefSeq and is a predicted model, not a curated record. Lineage: Eukaryota; Metazoa; Chordata; Actinopteri; Cyprinodontiformes; Rivulidae. The transcript is spliced from 3 exons.
UGUUUACAUGCUGUGUUUAAAGUUGCCACAUUUCUCCUUAUUUUUAGCCUGAUGCUAAUAGUGGAAAUGUCCAUUUGAAAGUGGGACUCACACCUCAC